UUUCCUCAGAGAAGUGAGGCCUUUCAUGGCUGCUUCAAGACUCCCCGCAUCAUUCCCAAGAUUUCCUGAGCUCCAUGAAAUGUUUGGAUGUGAAAGCCUGCAACCAUACAGAGUCAGGUGGAGAGAGGGACUGACCAGAGGGGGACAGAGCUAGGAGCCAGAAGCCUGCAUGAAGUGCUAGCUGAGUGGCAGAGAAACUUGGCAGACAACAUCUACAGAUACAUGGAGAUGGCAAGAAAAGUUGAAAAGUCAACA
Mastomys coucha (southern multimammate mouse) is the source of this 255-nucleotide long non-coding RNA. RefSeq lists it as uncharacterized. The record is from RefSeq and is a predicted model, not a curated record. Lineage: Eukaryota; Metazoa; Chordata; Mammalia; Rodentia; Muridae. The transcript is spliced from 3 exons.